RNAcentral lists this transfer RNA (53 nucleotides) under Citrus australis (Australian round lime). RNAcentral describes it as "partial tRNA-Phe". Lineage: Eukaryota; Viridiplantae; Streptophyta; Magnoliopsida; Sapindales; Rutaceae. The record is from RNAcentral.
UCGGGAUAGCUCAGCUGUAGAGCAAAGACUGAAAUCUUCGUGUCACAGUCAAU